Molecule: long non-coding RNA, 1140 nt
Organism: Cyprinus carpio (common carp)
Lineage: Eukaryota; Metazoa; Chordata; Actinopteri; Cypriniformes; Cyprinidae
Exons: 3
Source: RefSeq, a predicted model, not a curated record
AUUGCUGGGAAUGGAGUACCUUUACAGCUAGACUGGCAAAACACUGACUCCAGUACUCCAGAACCCAGAGGAGGAAGACAGGCUGGUGGAGGAAGUUGAUGACCAGGACCUGCAACAUGAGGGGUUUAAGGAAGAGAUCAUAGAGGACAUCACAGUUCCAGUGCUGUAUGAGGAUGACCCCUGCUGUGAUCUCCAAAACAGCCCCUCCUCUUUGCCUCUGCCUCGGCCCCCAGUAUCACUGGCUGAACCAUCCACAUCAUCUGGUGGAGAAGGACAGCAUCUUGCCCCUGCCCCUUCAGUGCUGUCACAGCCAUCGGACACUGGAAGCAGUCUCUCCGAUGAGGCUCAGAGAGCAGUCAUUGGAGCCAAAACAUCACUGGGUGGGAUAAGGUCCAGUUUAAGGCACAGAAAACCAUCCAGAGUCACACCGGGUGUGGAGAGUGUGAAACGGUGUCUGAUUGGACAUCCUGGGAGUCCAGCACUGUGGCCCAGCACCAUCUGCUUUGUUGAGGCCAUUUGUAUGAAGCUGUGUGCUUUACACAAGUCGCCGACCAAGAAGGCUAGAGUUUGCACCCCCAGGUGGUCUAAAAUCCUCUCGGAUUACCACCACAUUUAGGACACUCAUUCAGUGUGAAAAUAGUGAACAGUGGCAGAAGAAUCAGGAAAUGAGUGUCCUCACUCAGGUACUGACUCCACCUGAGCCAAUUGCUAUGGCUGAUACGCAGCAUUCUCCGCUGAGAGAAAAAUUGGAUGAAGCACCAUCGACAUCAGGCCCAAAACAUCAAUUUAUCCUUCCCCCAAAUGAGAAGGACAGGCUCCUCUUCUGGGACCAGGUCGACAGCCCACUGCUGCCACCAGGGAGUGCCCUAUCGCACCUGCCCCCAUAGCAUCAGGAGUUGUGCAGCCCGUUUCAGCUCCUGGGUCGUUGUUAGGCACACUAGUCCUUAACCCAGACAAGACUGCAUCAAUGGUCAUCCGAUGCAGGACCAGCUUCACCUGUUUCUGCCUCUGCUGCUCCUGUGUCCUGUUACACACACAGAAAAAGGCGCCAGCGGGCAAUAAAUAAUAUCUUUCCUUUAUACAUUUUGUAUAUAUUACAUGGACCCCCUCUUUCAUAUUGUCCUAUAUAUAUAUAUAUAU